Long non-coding RNA from Capsicum annuum, 1050 nucleotides. RefSeq lists it as uncharacterized. NCBI's taxonomy places the organism in Eukaryota, Viridiplantae, Streptophyta, Magnoliopsida, Solanales, Solanaceae. The transcript is spliced from 3 exons. The record is from RefSeq and is a predicted model, not a curated record.
UACAUUUCUCUAACUGUCGUCUCUCUCUCUCAACCCUAGUUCUUUCUCAAAAAUACAUAAUCAAAACCCUAGUUCACAAUCUCAGACAGAAAAUACCGCAAAUCGGCGGUUUGAAGGCGACGGCGACUUGGUGAUGACGACGACGGUGAGUUGGUGGUAACGGCGAUGGCGAGUUGGAGAUAUUGUUUUUCAUUAGUAAGUCAAUAGCUAGGUUUAUCUGGUGUGUUUACAAAUUGGAUGGUUCUGUUUUUGUGGAAGUUCUAGUCCAUCUUGGUUCUUCUUGUAUGAGUGACCUUGUUCGAGAGUUGUAAGAUGGUAUGAUGUUGAUCUUGAAUGGUAUAAAGUUGCUGCUAGCUUUACUAAGCCGGUGAUAAUAUUUCAAUGGAAAGCCAAUGAAGUUGAUUAUCCACAGUGAAAGAAUAAAAGAGGUUCAACAAAUCAACACUUUUUUGUUCUGGAUGUGCUAUAUUGUCUUGUUGAUUUGUUUACAGUGUAUAUUGUAUGGCCGCCCAUUUGCAGAGCCGUAGACUCGUGAACUUGGGAAAGCGAGUUGUUAAUUAGAUCAGCUAUGCUGGUGCUAGAACUACUGCUAACUCACCUUCCCUCUCUGUCAGGAAUAUGAAAAUAGGGGGAAAGAGCCCACUUUUCUUAAGGUCUACGAAGAGACGCAUACGAAGAAAAAAAAAGGACGGUAUAAACUAUGAAAGAAAUGGAAGCGAUGAAAAAGCAAAUUGUGGAAUUGACGCAGUAAUAUGCAGCUAACGAUACUAAAUUUGCUAAAUUUGAGGAGUUGGUUAAGAAACACGUGCCUCAAGUAUUUCAUGAUGAGGAAGAUAGUGAAUCUGAUGAUAGCUAGAAUGUAGUUAUUAUUCUUGUUUUUGGUUGUGACAUUUAGAGUUUAAUCUAUUUGAUUUGAUGUUUGUUUUGGGUGUUCUAAAGUGGUUGUAUUUAUCAAUUUUUGUCGUGUUUGAUCCUAUUGUGAAAAAUACAUUAGUUAUGUUGUUUAUAAUCUGAGAGCAGUGUAAGCUAAUGCAAGAUUUAAUUAUAUAA